Molecule: ribosomal RNA, 292 nt
Filed under: uncultured bacterium
Lineage: Bacteria
Description: partial 16S ribosomal RNA
Rfam family: Bacterial small subunit ribosomal RNA
Source: RNAcentral
GUGCCAGCAGCCGCGGUAAGACGAACCGAGCGAACGUUGUUCGGAAUCACUGGGCUUAAAGGGCGCGUAGGCGGGUUCGCAAGUCUGUGGUGAAAUCCUCCGGCUCAACCGGAGAACUGCCUCGGAUACUGCGGGUCUCGAGGGUGAUAGGGGUAUGCGGAACUAUCGGUGGAGCGGUGAAAUGCGUUGAUAUCGAUAGGAACUCCGGUGGCGAAGGCGGCAUACUGGAUCACUUCUGACGCUGAGGCGCGAAAGCCAGGGGAGCAAACGGGAUUAGAUACCCCUGUAGUCC